This 294-nucleotide ribosomal RNA is filed under the name uncultured bacterium. RNAcentral's name for it is "partial 16S ribosomal RNA". It matches the Rfam family "Bacterial small subunit ribosomal RNA", at positions 333 to 644 of the family's 1533-position model. The record is from RNAcentral.
UGACUCCUACGGGGGGCAGCAGUGGGGAAUAUUGCGCAAUGGGGGAAACCCUGAUGCAGCGACGCCGCGUGAGCGAUGAAGUAUUUCGGUAUGUAAAGCUCUAUCAGCAGGGAAGAAGAUGACGGUACCUGACUAAGAAGCCCCGGCUAACUACGUGCCAGCAGCCGCGGUAAUACGUAGGGGGCAAGCGUUAUCCGGAUUUACUGGGUGUAAAGGGAGCGUAGACGGCGAUGCAAGCCAGAUGUGAAAGCCCGGGGCUCAACCCAGGGACUGCAUUUGGAACUGUGUGGCUUG